This 497-nucleotide ribosomal RNA is filed under the name uncultured bacterium. Its description in RNAcentral is "partial 16S ribosomal RNA". It matches the Rfam family "Bacterial small subunit ribosomal RNA", at positions 28 to 507 of the family's 1533-position model. The record is from RNAcentral.
GAUGAACGCUGGCGGCGUGCCUAAUACAUGCAAGUCGAGCGAACGGACGAGAAGCUUGCUUCUCUGAUGUUAGCGGCGGACGGGUGAGUAACACGUGGAUAACCUACCUAUAAGACUGGGAUAACUUCGGGAAACCGGAGCUAAUACCGGAUAAUAUUUUGAACCGCAUGGUUCAAAAGUGAAAGACGGUCUUGCUGUCACUUAUAGAUGGAUCCGCGCUGCAUUAGCUAGUUGGUAAGGUAACGGCUUACCAAGGCAACGAUGCAUAGCCGACCUGAGAGGGUGAUCGGCCACACUGGAACUGAGACACGGUCCAGACUCCUACGGGAGGCAGCAGUGGGGAAUCUUCCGCAAUGGGCGAAAGCCUGACGGAGCAACGCCGCGUGAGUGACGAAGGUCUUCGGAUCGUAAAACUCUGUUAUUAGGGAAGAACAUAUGUGUAAGUAACUGUGCACAUCUUGACGGUACCUAAUCAGAAAGCCACGGCUAACUACGUG